CCUACGGGAGGCUGCAGUGGGGAAUAUUGGACAAUGGGGGCAACCCUGAUCCAGCCAUGCCGCGUGUGUGAAGAAGGCCCUCGGGUUGUAAAGCACUUUCAGUGAGGAAGAACGCCUGGUGGUUAAUACCCAUCAGGAAAGACAUCACUCACAGAAGAAGCACCGGCUAACUCCGUGCCAGCAGCCGCGGUAAUACGGAGGGUGCGAGCGUUAAUCGGAAUUACUGGGUGUAAAGCGCGCGUAGGUGGCUUGAUAAGCCGGUUGUGAAAGCCCCGGACUCAACCUGGGAACGGCAUCCGGAACUGUCAAGCUAGAGUGCAGGAGAGGAAGGUAGAAUUCCCGGUGUAGCGGUGAAAUGCGUAGAGAUCGGGAGGAAUACCAGUGGCGAAGGCGGCCUUCUGGACUGACACUGACACUGAGGUGCGAAAGCGUGGGUAGCAAACAGGCUUAGCUACCCUGGUAGUA
RNAcentral lists this ribosomal RNA (465 nucleotides) under Vreelandella stevensii. RNAcentral's name for it is "partial 16S ribosomal RNA". It matches the Rfam family "Bacterial small subunit ribosomal RNA", at positions 338 to 795 of the family's 1533-position model. The record is from RNAcentral. Lineage: Bacteria; Pseudomonadati; Pseudomonadota; Gammaproteobacteria; Oceanospirillales; Halomonadaceae.